UAUUCUGAUAUUAUAUGUAAUUAGAUUUUUUUUCACUUUGCAAUUAAUUUUUUGAAUAUUACUAAAAAGACAUGAAGUUUAAAAAUACAAAAAAACACCAGUUUUAUACGAAAGCCUCAUCUGGUCUAUCUUCUUGGCAUGCACAACCCCUGAAUGAAAGCAUCGAUCGUAACAAUAAAUGUUGAGAGGCUGGUUGCUUCUUCCCAAACCCUGAAUCUUGUUCCAAGCAUCCUCAAUUGAACUACCUCCACAGAGACCAUGGACAUAUACCGAUCAGAAGUAACAUCUAACAGCUGGGUUUUUAGGUCGUGAAACGGUAAAGAUAAGUCAGUGGAGUGGCGGAGAGAGAGGGCAGAAUGGACGUGAAGAUAGAGAGGGCAGUGCAGACCUGGUUUCUGUUCAAGGAUGAGGGCGACAAUGGUGGUUGGUGAGUGUAGGGUCAGUUUGUUACGUUGGUUUGAUCAUCAAAGAUAGAGGAGGAAGAUGAGAUUGUAACAGCUAGGGUUUAUAAGAAAAAA
This 518-nucleotide long non-coding RNA is filed under the name Populus tremula. RNAcentral describes it as "long non-coding RNA (PTRE_LNC002312)". Lineage: Eukaryota; Viridiplantae; Streptophyta; Magnoliopsida; Malpighiales; Salicaceae. The record is from RNAcentral.